Molecule: ribosomal RNA, 237 nt
Filed under: Prorocentrum minimum
Lineage: Eukaryota; Dinophyceae; Prorocentrales; Prorocentraceae
Description: partial Bacterial small subunit ribosomal RNA
Rfam family: Bacterial small subunit ribosomal RNA
Source: RNAcentral
UGCGCUGUUUGAGCGGCCGAUAUCUGAUUAGCUAGUUGGUGGGGUAAAGGCCUACCAAGGCGACGAUCUGUAGCGGGUCUGAGAGGAUGAUCCGCCACACUGGGACUGAGACACGGCCCAGACUCCUACGGGAGGCAGCAGUGGGGAAUAUUGCACAAUGGGCGCAAGCCUGAUGCAGCCAUGCCGCGUGUAUGAAGAAGGCCUUCGGGUUGUAAAGUACUUUCAGUCAGGAGGAAG